CCUGCUUCAGGUGCAGAAAGCUGGGAGGGGUCGAGGGGAGGAAUGCACAGGCUGAUUUACACCUGUCCCUACAGCUGCUAUCGACAACACUUACAGCCUCCAGAAAUGACCCUUGGUGCCGACUUGUCUGGAAGCCAUCAGGGUUAGUUUUGAAGCAGGAAUCUUCAAGUGGACCAGAGGGUUGUCUUCUGCUCCUGAUCUGGUUGGCUGGAGACACUUAGAAGCUAUGGCCUUUCACCU
RNAcentral lists this long non-coding RNA (240 nucleotides) under Homo sapiens (human). RNAcentral's name for it is "HSALNT0370652". The record is from RNAcentral. Lineage: Eukaryota; Metazoa; Chordata; Mammalia; Primates; Hominidae.